GGCAGAGUAGAAUUUUGUGCGUGGAUCAGGAAUCCAAAGUGUCUUCUGAACGGGGAGUUGUCAGAGGAACGAAUAGUCUUUUCAGACUUACGGUACAUUGUUCGCAUCCCGCUGCC
Molecule: regulatory RNA element, 116 nt
Organism: Lachnospiraceae bacterium 3_1_57FAA_CT1
Lineage: Bacteria; Bacillati; Bacillota; Clostridia; Lachnospirales; Lachnospiraceae
Rfam family: THF (Tetrahydrofolate) riboswitch aptamer
About the family: THF riboswitch presents a pseudoknot that joins P1-P2 and the loop of P3 and two THF binding.
Source: Rfam